Molecule: ribosomal RNA, 508 nt
Filed under: uncultured Glomus
Lineage: Eukaryota; Fungi; Glomeromycota; Glomeromycetes; Glomerales; Glomeraceae
Description: SSU rRNA
Rfam family: Eukaryotic small subunit ribosomal RNA
Source: RNAcentral
AGCAGCCGCGGUAAUUCCAGCUCCAAUAGCGUAUAUUAAAGUUGUUGCAGUUAAAAAGCUCGUAGUUGAAUUUCGGGGUCAGUAGGUUGGUCGUGCCUAUGGUAUGUACUGGCUUUACUGAUUCCUCCUUCUUGAAGAACUGUAAUGUCAUUAAUUUGGUGUUGCAGGGAAACAGGACUGUUACUUUGAAAAAAUUAGAGUGUUUAAAGCAGGCUAACGCUUGAAUACAUUAGCAUGGAAUAAUGAAAUAGGACGUUCGAUCCUAUUUUGUUGGUUUCUAGGAUUGACGUAAUGAUUAAUAGGGAUAGUUGGGGGCAUUAGUAUUCAAUUGUCAGAGGUGAAAUUCUUGGAUUUAUUGAAGACUGACUACUGCGAAAGCAUUUGCCAAGGAUGUUUUCAUUAAUCAAGAACGAAAGUUAGGGGAUCGAAGACGAUCAGAUACCGUCGUAGUCUUAACCAUAAACUAUGCCGACUAGGGAUCGGAUGAUGUUAAUUUUUUAAUGACUCA